GUCUACGGCCAUACCACCCUGACUGUGUCUGAUCUCCCCGGGUCUGACCUGGUUAGUACGUGGAUGGGAGACCACUUGGGAAUACCGAUGGUCCCAGGUG
This is a ribosomal RNA of Cricetulus griseus (Chinese hamster), 100 nucleotides long. NCBI's taxonomy places the organism in Eukaryota, Metazoa, Chordata, Mammalia, Rodentia, Cricetidae. The record is from Ensembl.